GUGGAUCAGUGGCGAACGGGUGAGUAACACGUGAGUAACCUGCCCUCCACUCUGGGAUAAGCGCUGGAAACGGCGUCUAAUACUGGAUACGACCGACCCUCGCAUGGGGUGUUGGUGGAAAGAUUUAUCGGUGGUGGAUGGACUCGCGGCCUAUCAGCUUGUUGGUGGGGUAAUGGCCUACCAAGGCGACGACGGGUAGCCGGCCUGAGAGGGCGACCGGCCACACUGGGACUGAGACACGGCCCAGACUCCUACGGGAGGCAGCAGUGGGGAAUAUUGCACAAUGGGCGAAAGCCUGAUGCAGCGACGCCGCGUGAGGGAUGACGGCCUUCGGGUUGUAAACCUCUUUCAGCAGGGAAGAAGCUUUUGUGACGGUACCUGCAGAAGAAGCACCGGCUAACUACGUGCCAGCAGCCGCGGUAAUACGUAGGGUGCGAGCGUUGUCCGGAAUUAUUGGGCGUAAAGAGCUUGUAGGCGGUUUGUCGCGUCUGCUGUGAAAAUUCAGGGCUUAACCCUGGACGUGCAGUGGGUACGGGCAGACUAGAGUGUGGUAGGGGAGACUGGAAUUCCUGGUGUAGCGGUGGAAUGCGCAGAUAUCAGGAGGAACACCGAUGGCGAAGGCAGGUCUCUGGGCCAUUACUGACGCUGAGAAGCGAAAGCAUGGGGAGCGAACAGGAUUAGAUACCCUGGUAGUCCAUGCCGUAAACGUUGGGCGCUAGGCGUGGGUCUCAUUCCACGARAUCCGUGUCGCAGCUAACGCAUUAAGCGCCCCGCCUGGGGAGUACGGCCGCAAGGSUAAAACUCAAAGGAAWUGACGGGGGCCC
This 824-nucleotide ribosomal RNA is filed under the name bacterium 0%39DO. RNAcentral's name for it is "bacterial SSU rRNA". It matches the Rfam family "Bacterial small subunit ribosomal RNA", at positions 87 to 922 of the family's 1533-position model. The record is from RNAcentral.